ACAUGCAUCUAUUUUUUGGUAGCUUAUCUCAUUAGAACUUUAUAGUUAAGCAUGUUUGACUUGGGGUAAUAUAGGGAUGGGUGACCUUCUGGGAAGUUUCAAGAAAUUGUGUA
Molecule: non-coding RNA, 113 nt
Organism: Cajanus cajan (pigeon pea)
Lineage: Eukaryota; Viridiplantae; Streptophyta; Magnoliopsida; Fabales; Fabaceae
Source: Rfam